Molecule: ribosomal RNA, 498 nt
Filed under: uncultured bacterium
Lineage: Bacteria
Description: partial 16S ribosomal RNA
Rfam family: Bacterial small subunit ribosomal RNA
Source: RNAcentral
GGAUGAACGCUGGCGGCGUGCCUACUACAUGCAAGUCGAGCGAACAGACGAGGAGCUUGCUCCUCUGACGUUAGCGGCGGACGGGUGAGUAACACGUGGAUAACCUACCUAUAAGACUGGGAUAACUUCGGGAAACCGGAGCUAAUACCGGAUAAUAUAUUGAACCGCAUGGUUCAAUAGUGAAAGACGGUUUUGCUGUCACUUAUAGAUGGAUCCGCGCCGCAUUAGCUAGUUGGUAAGGUAACGGCUUACCAAGGCGACGAUGCGUAGCCGACCUGAGAGGGUGAUCGGCCACACUGGAACUGAGACACGGUCCAGACUCCUACGGGAGGCAGCAGUAGGGAAUCUUCCGCAAUGGGCGAAAGCCUGACGGAGCAACGCCGCGUGAGUGAUGAAGGUCUUCGGAUCGUAAAACUCUGUUAUUAGGGAAGAACAAAUGUGUAAGUAACUAUGCACGUCUUGACGGUACCUAAUCAGAAAGCCACGGCUAACUACGUG